UGGCUAACGGGUGAGCUAACACGUGGGCAAUCUGCCCUGCACUCUGGGACAAGCCUUGGAAACGAGGUCUAAUACCGGAUAUUACCCCUGGGGGCAUCCCUGGGGGUGGAAAGCUCCGGCGGUGCAGGAUGAGCCCGCGGCCUAUCAGCUUGUUGGUGGGGUGAUGGCCUACCAAGGCGACGACGGGUAGCCGGCCUGAGAGGGCGACCGGCCACACUGGGACUGAGACACGGCCCAGACUCCUACGGGAGGCAGCAGUGGGGAAUAUUGCACAAUGGGCGAAAGCCUGAUGCAGCGACGCCGCGUGAGGGAUGAAGGCCUUCGGGUUGUAAACCUCUUUCAGCAGGGAAGAAGCGCAAGUGACGGUACCUGCAGAAGAAGCACCGGCUAACUACGUGCCAGCAGCCGCGGUAAUACGUAGGGUGCGAGCGUUGUCCGGAAUUAUUGGGCGUAAAGAGCUCGUAGGCGGCUUGUCGCGUCGGAUGUGAAAGCCCGGGGCUUAACCCCGGGUCUGCAUUCGAUACGGGCAGGCUAGAGUGUGGUAGGGGAGAUCGGAAUUCCUGGUGUAGCGGUGAAAUGCGCAGAUAUCAGGAGGAACACCGGUGGCGAAGGCGGAUCUCUGGGCCAUUACUGACGCUGAGGAGCGAAAGCGUGGGGAG
This 659-nucleotide ribosomal RNA is filed under the name Streptomyces sp. B.B3. RNAcentral describes it as "bacterial SSU rRNA". It matches the Rfam family "Bacterial small subunit ribosomal RNA", at positions 96 to 768 of the family's 1533-position model. Lineage: Bacteria; Bacillati; Actinomycetota; Actinomycetes; Kitasatosporales; Streptomycetaceae. The record is from RNAcentral.